AAGAGGAACUACUGCAUCACCUGGACUUCAUGUACUCUGUGUUAAAUAAGCCGUGUGGGCUGCGAGCUCGUGAGAUGACAGAGAUGUCCAACCUGAAGUCCCAGCUGGAAAGCAGUGUCAGGAGCUGAUCAGAAAUAGCCACAGUUCAUGGCAGAGGAUUUGCAAAGUAUGAUUUUGUUGAAAAUGCCGUGCUUCACAGAAAGAGGCCUCCUACUGGUGCCUGCAAUCACGCUGAACCCCAAGACAGCCCAUCAUGGAUUUUCAAGAAUCCUCUCUCUCGAGACAAGCACAGCCAACAAACCCAAGCAGAUGACUGUGUGCAUUACUUACACUGCUGCUUUCCAUUCGGCUGCUGUCAGCAAAUCUGCUCCAGGCUCCAACGUCAAGCGACACCGACAGACUGAGGCCAUGCGUGAAGGCAGCAUGGUGCCGAAAAACCGAUGCUCAGACAAGUUCUCACAGCAUCUGUAGGUCCGAGCUGCUUGUGUCAAGGUGAAGCUUAUUCACCUUCCACUCUGACUGGGUAGAGGCAGCCACUACGGCAGCAAAGUGUGUGGAACACUGGCGUCACAGUCACAGGGAGCUAGCAGGUCCUUGUGAUACCUUUUGGGUUCAGGUAGGUUUUUUGCAUGUGGUGAUGUACAGGUAUAAAUCACUACCCUACUCAACCCUAAAGUAAGAGGCACUAUCCAGUCGAGGUUUUCCCACAAAUCUAUCAUUUCUGACAAGUUUGAUGCAUGGACAAAAGUCAGGAAGACCCUCCUAAGCCUUUCUGAGCCUUCCAAGAUCAUCACCUGCAUAUGCUAAAAAGGGAAAACCAAAUAUUUUGUCUUAGCAACCUGCUGCCAUAUGCCUGAGUAGGGGCUGCUUAGCAAAAUCUUUGCUCCCGAUACCUCUUAAAUGACAUUGGGAUAGGCUGAUUGUCUUUUGCCUGGAGAGUAUAAAGAAGCUAAAAGCAUAAUGAAAUAUUUUCCUGCACACACAAGCUGUCUGUGUAAUAAUGGUUUCUAGGCUGUGAUACCUGCUUUGAAAUUUGUUUAUAUUAUUGAAAAGAAAGAUACAAAUGGUUUAGAUAUAAAGGUUUGUAACCAAGAUGAGUUGAGCAUCGACUGAAUAAUGCUGAAAAGACUGUGUAAAUCAUGCGAAAGCAGGACGAUAAAUACAGGUUGCCAGAGAGAUUACUCCUAAAAGCCUUUCUUGUGACUGAAAUGAGAGCCCUGAAAUGCUCUCAGGCAGCAGCCUGAAAACAUGUGGCUGGGGAACCUUUCUGCAGGCUGCAGACAGAGUAGGUUUUCAGCCAGUGACGAGACAAAUGGAUGAAGCGACCCUCAGCGCAAGGAGGGACCCCGCAUCUGGCUGAUGUGGAUGCCCUUGGGCUGCUUCCGUGACGGGGAGCUCUGCGAAAGCUGCGUCCUGCCAUAAGGAAUUGUUCACGUGCAUCUCCCAGUCACGCUGGAAGGCGUGUGGACGUAUGGAAGAUGUCAGCAGUACUUUUUUCUAUCUAGCUUUCAUUACCAGCAUUGAGGAAAGAAAGUCAGCGGUUUUGUCAGGAAUCUCUCGACCAAAGAAAUUCACCGAUGACUUGGCUUAUGCCGGCUAUUUCUUUUCUAUAUUUUCCUCUCUCUGAUGUGAAAUUUGUCAGCUACACGGGUGACCCUGACAGUGCCCAAACGAGCCUGGCCGUGAACUUUGAAUUAUCGUUUAAACCCCUGCUGCCACUGCGCGUGGGAUUUGACCAAAGGUAUUAGCGAGUUGUUAGUGAAAAUAGCAGUCUCCAGUGGGUGUCUGGCUAAUAAAACUGCAAUACAGUUUGUUACA
Long non-coding RNA from Calidris pygmaea (Spoon-billed sandpiper), 1818 nucleotides. The record is from Ensembl. Lineage: Eukaryota; Metazoa; Chordata; Aves; Charadriiformes; Scolopacidae.